RNAcentral lists this ribosomal RNA (154 nucleotides) under Boletus speciosus. RNAcentral describes it as "5.8S ribosomal RNA". The stretch from base 26 to 154 matches the Rfam family "5.8S ribosomal RNA", at positions 1 to 128 of the family's 154-position model. From Rfam's summary of the family: 5.8S ribosomal RNA (5.8S rRNA) is a component of the large subunit of the eukaryotic ribosome. The record is from RNAcentral. Lineage: Eukaryota; Fungi; Basidiomycota; Agaricomycetes; Boletales; Boletaceae.
GAUGGUCAAUAAUAUUAAAUCAUACAACUUUCAGCAACGGAUCUCUUGGCUCUCGCAUCGAUGAAGAACGCAGCGAAUUGCGAUAAGUAAUGUGAAUUGCAGAUUUUCAGUGAAUCAUCGAAUCUUUGAACGCACCUUGCGCUCCUUGGUAUUC